This 503-nucleotide long non-coding RNA is filed under the name Solanum tuberosum (potato). RNAcentral describes it as "long non-coding RNA (STUB_LNC001552)". The record is from RNAcentral. Lineage: Eukaryota; Viridiplantae; Streptophyta; Magnoliopsida; Solanales; Solanaceae.
UCGUAAAUACAUCAAUAACAAACAAAGGAAGAACUAUCAAAUGAACUAUGUCACCCAAAAGCUCGGUCUUUGCUCCUUCUUUAGCUAAUAUGUUUGCUAUCCUGUUCUGCUCCCUACAAGUGUGGCUAAGUCUUGGAUUCUCAAUUUGCUUCAUCAACGUAACUACCUGAUUAACAUAUAUAAAUUUGUGUUAAAACUUAAGUUCCUUUUCUCCUUUUCUCGAAUAAACUACUUACCUCCAUAGAGUCCGAGAAAAAUCAUAUUUGUAUGAUUAUAACUUUAAUAAAAAGCAAAAUUUAUAUGAUAUGACAUGCAACACAAGUAAUUUGGAGACUUCACUAAUUGCAUGCAAUGUAUAUAAUAUGUCUCUAUUUUAACGCAUGCUAGCAAAAUUAUGGACUAUAUAUUAUACCUUUUAAUAGUAAAAAAAAAUGUGACCACUUGCCAUAAUUCCUGGAGGACUUGCUUGUUUGAUGACCACAACCUUUCCGUAGACAUAUCAC